GUGGCGACACGUGUCUAAACACAACCAUGUGGUUCCUUUGGGGCACAAUUCUGAUUACUCAAGUUUGUUGGAAGAAGUUUGUGCUCAAUUGGAGAGAGGCACACACACAGUUAGGGCUCCAGAGAGAGAAGAAGGAAAAGACGCAACUUUCUCCUUCAUUUUUUUAUUCAGAUAACCCAGUGCGCUUUUUAUUUUUAUUUUUUUCUUAAGGAAAGCGCAAACAACAAACUCUAAGGCAGCGCGCUGAAUUUGGAGACGCAUUUUGGGGGGGAAGAGAACUCAACGAUCCCGUUCGGAUUUGGUAGUGAAAAGCGGCUUAGGGUGUAAGACAGAGCCAGAGGAAUGUAUCAAAAUCGGGCCGCGGUGCGGGAACGUCUGUGGAGAUGUCCAGCCUGCGCUCUGUGGAUCUCCCUGCUGCUCCAAGGCGUGCUGGACCUGAGCGCGUCCGAGCUGUAGAUGACACUGGGAGGAGUGGGAAUGUCGAGACAAAGGCUACCAGUAGAGAAGGAAUGCUGGUGUCCUGCUGAGCUAAUCCCAGUUUGAAGAAAGGAGAAAAUGUGGAACUGCAUAGGAGAAGAGGGAGGAGACAAAAAGAUGGCAAAGGAGGGUCCCAGGGUCUGGGCAAAAAUGGAAAGCGUUGCUUGGAAAAAGAAGUCUCCCCCAUCUUUCACCUGCUUUCUUUCUGAGCAACAAGAUCUUCUGCUGGUGGUCCAACGGGUCUCUCUUUGGUUAUCAAGGAAUUCAGAGUUAAUGAGACAGAUGGGCUAUUUGAGAAGUGAUCAUCUUAGCCUGGGGCUAACGGUUUAAUUAGUAAUGCCAGGUUCACUCUCAAGGGCCAUUUGUGUUGAAACAAACAUCUACAGAUGAUACUGAAGAUGAGAUCUUUUUCUCUUUUAACGACCUACCGAUCAGGCUCUUCUGACUGAUUCAGAUUUCCAGUUUUCUUUGACUCUUGACCUGUGCGACUUUUUUCUGAAACAUUUAAAAAAAAAGAUUUUUUUUUUUCUGAUUCUUUGAUAGAGGUGAUUCUGAAAAAAAUUGAGUUUUCAAGAUUUCCCCGAUUUGUGUAACAUGAAAAAGUUUAAGACUGUUGAAAUUUGAGUGUGGAAAAGCAUAGAAUUAAAAAUUGUUCAGUUUACGGGAACUCUGGCUUGUGAAUCUGCUCAUUUUAUUAUGUUUAGAUUUAGCAGAUCCUUUUGACGAUAUUGGUGCCAUGAUUGAUUCGCCCUGAUUUCAUUACUUCUGGGUGGUUGGUGAUUUUCCAAUACUUGCAUGUCAAACCAAUCUUAUCCACCGAUAUUUACUUUUACUACAGUCUAAAAAUCAGCCACUGUUCUCUUUUGCUCCACCGUUAGAGCGGUCUGACUGACAGACCCGCCCACCACGUCACAUUUAAAGGUGCACUGUGUGCUCCUGUAGAUGCUCUAAGCAUUGCUGUAGUCUAACCUGUUAUGUAAGUAUUGUUUGAGU
Poecilia latipinna (sailfin molly) is the source of this 1470-nucleotide long non-coding RNA. RefSeq lists it as uncharacterized. The record is from RefSeq and is a predicted model, not a curated record. The transcript is spliced from 2 exons. Lineage: Eukaryota; Metazoa; Chordata; Actinopteri; Cyprinodontiformes; Poeciliidae.